Molecule: ribosomal RNA, 482 nt
Filed under: uncultured bacterium
Lineage: Bacteria
Description: partial 16S ribosomal RNA
Rfam family: Bacterial small subunit ribosomal RNA
Source: RNAcentral
AUUGAACGCUGGCGGCAUGCUUUACACAUGCAAGUCGAACGGUAACAGGCCGCAAGGUGCUGACGAGUGGCGAACGGGUGAGUAAUGCAGCGGAACGUGCCCAGUCGUGGGGGAUAACUACUCGAAAGAGUAGCUAAUACCGCAUACGAUCUAUGGAUGAAAGCGGGGGACCGGAAGGCCUCGCGCGAUUGGAGCGGCCGAUGUCAGAUUAGGUAGUUGGUGGGGUAAAGGCUCACCAAGCCAACGAUCUGUAGCUGGCCUGAGAGGACAACCAGCCACACUGGGACUGAGACACGGCCCAGACUCCUACGGGAGGCAGCAGUGGGGAAUUUUGGACAAUGGGCGCAAGCCUGAUCCAGCAAUGCCGCGUGCAGGAAGAAGGCCUUCGGGUUGUAAACUGCUUUUGUACGGAACGAAACGGCUCUGGUUAAUACCCGGGGCUAAUGACGGUACCGUAAGAAUAAGCACCGGCUAACUACGUG